AACGAACGCUGGCGGCAUGCCUAACACAUGCAAGUCGAACGAGACCUUCGGGUCUAGUGGCGCACGGGUGCGUAACGCGUGGGAACCUGCCCUUAGGUUCGGAAUAACUCCCCGAAAGGGGUGCUAAUACCGGAUAAUGUCUUCGGACCAAAGAUUUAUCGCCUUUGGAUGGGCCCGCGUUGGAUUAGCUAGUUGGUAGGGUAAAAGCCUACCAAGGCGACGAUCCAUAGCUGGGCUGAGAGGAUGAUCAGCCACACUGGGACUGGGACACGGCCCAGACUCCUACGGGAGGCAGCAGUGGGGAAUAUUGGACAAUGGGCGAAAGCCUGAUCCAGCAAUGCCGCGUGAGUGAUGAAGGCCUUAGGGUUGUAAAGCUCUUUUACCCGGGAUGAUAAUGACAGUACCGGGAGAAUAAGCACCGGCUAACUCCGUG
RNAcentral lists this ribosomal RNA (433 nucleotides) under uncultured bacterium. Its description in RNAcentral is "partial 16S ribosomal RNA". It matches the Rfam family "Bacterial small subunit ribosomal RNA", at positions 29 to 507 of the family's 1533-position model. The record is from RNAcentral.